This 184-nucleotide small nuclear RNA is filed under the name Erinaceus europaeus (western European hedgehog). Its description in RNAcentral is "7SK RNA". It matches the Rfam family "7SK RNA", at positions 1 to 188 of the family's 331-position model. Rfam says of the family: 7SK was discovered as an abundant small nuclear RNA in the mid-70s but a possible function has only recently been suggested. Two independent studies have found that 7SK RNA binds the CDK9/cyclin T complex (known as elongation factor P-TEFb). P-TEFb activates transcription by phosphorylating the C-terminal domain of RNA polymerase II. The record is from Rfam by way of RNAcentral. Lineage: Eukaryota; Metazoa; Chordata; Mammalia; Eulipotyphla; Erinaceidae.
UGAGGCAGAGAAAUGGCAAUCUAUUUACAGAAACUUGAUCGCCAGGGUUGAUUCGGCUGAUUUGGUUGGCUAGGUGGGUAUCCCCUUUCUCUCCCGCCGUUCAGUGUGCGUCCCUCCCAAAGCUGUGUGCUCGGCCAAAGAGGAUGACCUUCCCCGAACAGAGAUGGGCAGGUCUUCUCUCUCA